Phalaenopsis equestris is the source of this 755-nucleotide long non-coding RNA. RefSeq lists it as uncharacterized. The transcript has 4 exons. Lineage: Eukaryota; Viridiplantae; Streptophyta; Magnoliopsida; Asparagales; Orchidaceae. The record is from RefSeq and is a predicted model, not a curated record.
UUCGGGACGCUGGAGAAAAAAUAUUUUAGUCUCUUUGUUUUCCACGAUGAUCCGAUACAUGCAAAUAGAUAAUGGAAUGUUGUAAUUGACGAGACAAACCAUAGUUUUUAGGUUUACAUUUUCUCGAUAGGCCUUGCCUGUUGGAAUAUUUCUUUACGUGCUCGAGCUGCUUCAAACAACGGCAGUGGAGCUGCGGCGAAUGCUCGUUUUAAUUUGGAGAAAAAUUCUGGCUCUUGACAAGACUUGUCAGGUUGAUCUUGUGAAAUAUGGAGGUCAUACCUAUUUUAUUAAGUUUCUCGAUAGCAUGGAUGCUUACCCAAAACAUGGGGCAAUGGCCGCCUUUGUUUUAGCAGUUAUUGUUGAUGGGCACAAACGAGGACAAGAGGAAUGCAUGCAAGCUAAUCUUUUCCAUGUAUGCUUGAAGCAUCUGCAACUUGCAAACCCUAAUGAAGCACAAACUGAGCAUCUCCUACUUCAAUGGUCGUGCCUUUGGUUGGGAAAAUUUUGGGAGGAUUUUCAUGAAGCAUAAAUUAUUUGUUUACAAGCAGAUACACUAGUUAUUUUGCUCUAUUUGUUGUCUGAGCCCCAACCAGAGGUUUUACUUGGCCAUUCUCAUCGAUUUCAAGCAUUGGUGCUUCUAGGAAGAUUUCUUGACAAGGGACAUUGGGCUGUAGAUCAGGCCUUGCUUGUUGGAAUAUUUCCUUAUGUGCUCAAGCUACUUCAAACAAUGACGAUGGAGCUGCGACAAAUUCUCG